AUUGAACGCUGGCGGAAUGCUUUACACAUGCAAGUCGAACGGCAGCACGGACUUCGGUCUGGUGGCGAGUGGCGAACGGGUGAGUAAUGUAUCGGAACGUGCCCAGUCGUGGGGGAUAACGUAGUGAAAAUUACGCUAAUACCGCAUACGAUCUAUGGAUGAAAGCGGGGGAUCGCAAGACCUCGCGCGAUUGGAGCGGCCGAUAUCAGAUUAGGUAGUUGGUGGGGUAUAGGCCCACCAAGCCAACGAUCUGUAGCUGGUCUGAGAGGACGACCAGCCACACUGGAACUGAGACACGGUCCAGACUCCUACGGGAGGCAGCAGUGGGGAAUUUUGGACAAUGGGCGAAAGCCUGAUCCAGCCAUUCCGCGUGCAGGAUGAAGGCCCUCGGGUUGUAAACUGCUUUUGUACAGAACGAAAAGGUUUCUACUAAUACUAGGAGCUCAUGACGGUACUGUAAGAAUAAGCACCGGCUAACUACAUGCCAGCCGCCGCGGUAA
RNAcentral lists this ribosomal RNA (500 nucleotides) under uncultured bacterium. RNAcentral's name for it is "partial 16S ribosomal RNA". It matches the Rfam family "Bacterial small subunit ribosomal RNA", at positions 30 to 523 of the family's 1533-position model. The record is from RNAcentral.